Long non-coding RNA from Athalia rosae (coleseed sawfly), 590 nucleotides. RefSeq lists it as uncharacterized. The record is from RefSeq and is a predicted model, not a curated record. The transcript has 2 exons. Lineage: Eukaryota; Metazoa; Arthropoda; Insecta; Hymenoptera; Athaliidae.
CUCAACUGUAAUAGUUUAUAAUAAAUUUAUGGCAAUUUGAUAUGCUUAGAUAUUAAUUCACGUUGUGCGGAGAACGAAUGGGAGUUUUAAUUUUGUAUUUAGACCAAAAUUUCAUCAAACGUGGUAGAGCUAUACGCUGGAGUGUGUUUUGAGCGGAUCAGCUAAAGAUUCACGUGAGCAGUCGAAAUCUAAAAAGUAGGCGUAGCCCCCGGGGAAAAGCGCCGUCUGCUACUAGCAGAAAUCAUUAUUCUUGGUCAUCCAAAAUGAACUGAUAACUACUAGCAAAGAGAAUAGACAUGAUUGUGCUGUAUCUUGCUCAAAGUACAAGAUCUGAAAAUAAAUCAAUUGGGCAGCGAGGAUGGGUUUCAGAUCUGUUUAUCAUUUCUCUCAUAUCCCGAUUCAAAUUCUGCGACUUACUGCAAAUGUCAAGAUGAAGUUCCAGAAUUGUUAUCUACCAGGCGAAUCUUCGAAGUGACAUCAAGUCGCAUUUUCGAUGUGUUUUUUGUUUUUCAUAUUGUUAUUCAUAAUUUUCGUAAUUUUACUUUUGCUAGAAAGUUGACUCAGACUAAAUAUUGAAAUACUUCAAUCUA